AGAUUGAACGCUGGCGGCAGGCCUAACACAUGCAAGUCGAGCGGCGGCACGGGUACUUGUACCUGGUGGCGAGCGGCGGACGGGUGAGUAAUGCCUAGGAAUCUGCCUGAUAGUGGGGGGAUAACGUUCGGAAACGGACGCUAAUACCGCAUACGUCCUACGGGAGAAAGUGGGGGAUCUUCGGACCUCACGCUAUCAGAUGAGCCUAGGUCGGAUUAGCUAGUUGGAGGGUAAAGCCUACAAGGCGACGACGGAUAGCCGACCUGAGAGGGUGACGGCCAACGACUCGGGACUACGAGACACGGCCCAGACUCCGUACGGGAGGCAGGCAGUGGGAAUAUGCACAAGUGGCGAAAGCCU
This 360-nucleotide ribosomal RNA is filed under the name uncultured soil bacterium. Its description in RNAcentral is "bacterial SSU rRNA". It matches the Rfam family "Bacterial small subunit ribosomal RNA", at positions 26 to 384 of the family's 1533-position model. The record is from RNAcentral.